GACAUAGGUGGCGAACGUUAUCCGGAAUUAUUGGGCGUAAAGGAUGCGUAGAUGGUAGAAUAAGUUACUGGUCGAUGCCAAACUCAAUUUGGCGGAAGCCGAUAAUACUGUUCUACUCGAGGGCAGGAGAGGUUGUUGGAAUUCUGUGUGGAGCGGUGAAAUGCGUUGAUCUACAGAGGAACACCAAAAAAGGCGAAGGCAAUCAACUAUGCUGUUCCUGACAUUGAGGCAUGAAAGCGUGGGGAGCAAACCGG
RNAcentral lists this ribosomal RNA (254 nucleotides) under uncultured bacterium. RNAcentral's name for it is "partial 16S ribosomal RNA". It matches the Rfam family "Bacterial small subunit ribosomal RNA", at positions 524 to 776 of the family's 1533-position model. The record is from RNAcentral.